This 275-nucleotide ribosomal RNA is filed under the name uncultured Gemmata sp. Its description in RNAcentral is "partial 16S ribosomal RNA". It matches the Rfam family "Bacterial small subunit ribosomal RNA", at positions 338 to 615 of the family's 1533-position model. Lineage: Bacteria; Pseudomonadati; Planctomycetota; Planctomycetia; Gemmatales; Gemmataceae. The record is from RNAcentral.
CCUACGGGUGGCUGCAGUCGAGGAUCUUCGGCAAUGGGCGCAAGCCUGACCGAGCGACGCCGCGUGAGCGAUGAAGGCCUUCGGGUUGUAAAGCUCUUUAGUGGGGGAGAAAGGCCGGGUCACACCGGCGUGAUCUAUCCCAAAAAUAAGCACGGGCUAAGUUCGUGCCAGCAGCCGCGGUAAGACGAACCGUGCGAACGUUAUUCGGAAUCACUGGGCUUAAAGGGCGCGUAGGCGGGCUGACAAGUCUGGGGUGAAAUCCCGCGGCUCAACCG